AUGGAUCUGUCUAAGUUUGAGCUGAAUGACACACCUCAUAUGCUUGAAUCAGCCGACAUGGUUGAGGAGCAUGCCGGCAAGGUGAGCAGCAGUGAGCUUGGGUGUACAAGCACGGAUCUGGCUAAUUUUGAGACCCUGACGCUGAACGAUACACCUCACACACUUGAAUCAGCCGACAGGGUGGUAAUGCAUGCUGACGCAGUCGAUGGUGCCAUUCUUGAUUCCACACUUGCGGAGCCACCAGCGCACGAGAAAGAAAAACCAAGGCGGGAGAUACCACGAAAAUAUUGGCCACCCAAAUAUGAAGGUGAUAUAAAAUUUGCAGAAGAACAAGCUCGAAAACAAGCUGAAUCAAUUCAAGAACGAGGACAUUAUACUUCUUCUAAGGAAGAACUUGCUCAAAAUGCGAAUAGAUGGAUGACCGAGGAGGCGAUGGUGGCUUUCAGAAAAUACAUCGAGAGUGAAGAUGAUCUUAAGGGAGUUGAGUAUGAAUUUGAUGAACUUCUCCAUCAAUGUUUUAAUGUGGAGCAUUAUUUAAAGACAUGUCAUCACUUCACCUUUACUGUCAAGAUAAAGAAGCAUGGCUCAGCCGAUUGGACAUCAGUGAUGUACUUCACUGAGGUCCGCGGAAUAUUUAUGAUAAAGGAUUAUUUCUGUUAUCCUUUAGACCCGGAUGAAAAUGGUCAAUGUUAUGCAUGUCAGAACCAAGGAAUGCAUGAGUUAAGGCACCCAUCAGUAGGGAUAUUUGACUGCGGCAAGGAAGAUGCAUCAUUUCCCUACUAUUGUGAGGAAAGUGACUCUGAUGAAUAUCAUCCAAAAAUGGAAUGGAGUGAAUCUGAUGAUGAUAUGAGUUGA
This 855-nucleotide ribosomal RNA is filed under the name Triticum aestivum (bread wheat). RNAcentral describes it as "partial small subunit ribosomal RNA". Lineage: Eukaryota; Viridiplantae; Streptophyta; Magnoliopsida; Poales; Poaceae. The record is from RNAcentral.